CCUACGGGUGGCUGCAGUGAGGAAUAUUGGUCAAUGGUCGUAAGCCUGAACCAGCCAAGUCGCGUGAGGGAUGAAGGUUCUAUGGAUCGUAAACCUCUUUUAUAAGGGAAUAAAGUGUGGGACGUGUCCUAUUUUGUAUGUACCUUAUGAAUAAGGAUCGGCUAACUCCGUGCCAGCAGCCGCGGUAAUACGGAGGAUCCGAGCGUUAUCCGGAUUUAUUGGGUUUAAAGGGUGCGUAGGCGGCCUUUUAAGUCUGCGGUGAAAGUCUGUGGCUCAACCAUAGAAUUGCCGUUGAAACUGGGGGGCUUGAGUAUGUUUAAGGUAGGCGGAAUGCGUGGUGUAGCGGUGAAAUGCUGAGAUAUCACGAAGAACCCCGAUUGCGAAGGCAGCCUGCGAAGCCAUGACUGACGCUGAUGCACGAAAGCGUGGGGAUCAAACAGGAUUAGAUACCCUUGUAGUC
RNAcentral lists this ribosomal RNA (460 nucleotides) under uncultured bacterium. RNAcentral's name for it is "partial 16S ribosomal RNA". It matches the Rfam family "Bacterial small subunit ribosomal RNA", at positions 338 to 795 of the family's 1533-position model. The record is from RNAcentral.